UCCUCCUUAGCUCAGUUGGUUAGAGCAUCUGACUGUUAAUCAGAGGGUCCUUGGUUCGAGCCCAAGAGGAGGAGCUA
RNAcentral lists this transfer RNA (77 nucleotides) under Pricia antarctica. RNAcentral describes it as "tRNA-Asn". It matches the Rfam family "tRNA". Rfam says of the family: Transfer RNA (tRNA) molecules are approximately 80 nucleotides in length. Their secondary structure includes four short double-helical elements and three loops (D, anti-codon, and T loops). The record is from RNAcentral. RNAcentral also lists the same sequence under 4 other names. Lineage: Bacteria; Pseudomonadati; Bacteroidota; Flavobacteriia; Flavobacteriales; Flavobacteriaceae.